Molecule: ribosomal RNA, 235 nt
Filed under: uncultured bacterium
Lineage: Bacteria
Description: partial 16S ribosomal RNA
Rfam family: Bacterial small subunit ribosomal RNA
Source: RNAcentral
UGGCGGACGGGUGAGUAAUGUCUGGGAAACUGCCUGAUGGAGGGGGAUAACUACUGGAAACGGUAGCUAAUACCGCAUAACGUUGCAAGACCAAAGAGGGGGACCUUCGGGCCUCUUGCCAUCGGAUGUGCCCAGAUGGGAUUAGCUAGUAGGUGGGGUAACGGCUCACCUAGGCGACGAUCCCUAGCUGGUCUGAGAGGAUGACCAGCCACACUGGAACUGAGACACGGUCCAG